GAUGAACGCUGGCGGCGUGCCUAAUACAUGCAAGUCGAGCGAACGGACGAGAAGCUUGCUUCUCUGAUGUUAGCGGCGGACGGGUGAGUAACACGUGGAUAACCUACCUAUAAGACUGGGAUAACUUCGGGAAACCGGAGCUAAUACCGGAUAAUAUUUUGAACCGCAUGGUUCAAAAGUGAAAGACGGUCUUGCUGUCACUUAUAGAUGGAUCCGCGCUGCAUUAGCUAGUUGGUAAGGUAACGGCUUACCAAGGCAACGAUGCAUAGCCGACCUGAGAGGGGGAUCGGCCACACUGGAACGGAGACACGGUCCAGACUCCUACGGGAGGCAGCAGUAGGGAAUCUUCCGCAAUGGGCGAAAGCCUGACGGAGCAACGCCGCGUGAGUGAUGAAGGUCUUCGGAUCGUAAAACUCUGUUAUUAGGGAAGAACAUAUGUGUAAGUAACUGUGCACAUCUUGACGGUACCUAAUCAGAAAGCCACGGCUAACUAUGUG
This 497-nucleotide ribosomal RNA is filed under the name uncultured bacterium. RNAcentral describes it as "partial 16S ribosomal RNA". It matches the Rfam family "Bacterial small subunit ribosomal RNA", at positions 28 to 507 of the family's 1533-position model. The record is from RNAcentral.